CAAAGAUGUCGGACCAAAAAGAAAGAAAGAAAGAAAGCAAAGAUGCUGAUGAUUUCUGAAAUGAAAAGAGAGAAGGAGACAUAUGAGAAAGCAAGGAUGCUGAAGAAAAUAUCAGGGCUGCAUAGGCCAAGGAUUUUACAAGUGAAGAUGGUGAAAAGAGGCAGAUGGCAGUUGCUACCUAUCUUGUGAUUCUUGUCGAUAAAUAUUGUCUGAGGGCUGGAAAUGAUAAGUGUCAGCAUAAUGGUCUAACAGGAUCCAAGUUUUAGAGAGAGAGUAUGAACAGGAAAAUUCAAACCAUUUACCUUCAAAGAAUUCAACAGAAUCAGUUGUGCAUGCUUUACUUUUAUUGCUGGCAGGAUGAUGAUGAAAUUGAUACUGUUGAGUGCUGCAAAUUAAAAGUAGCUAGAGUACGUCAAAACAAUUCCCCCUAACUCGUUGGAGUUCAACUUCCUUGUUAAAGAUUCAAUAAGAUGUGAAACUACUGUUGACGUUGAGCUUCCUGUUUACAAGGCCAUUGAAGAGUUCCUGGCUGGAAAGAAUGGUAGUGAAGGUCUAUUUGACAAGUUGGAGAAUACCAGUGAAUUGAAUGCACAUCUAGAGGGACUGAUGCCUGGCCUUACAGGAAAAGUAUUCCGUACAGUACAUACAAUGCAUGCAUUACAUUGGAUGAAAUAUUGAACAAAGAAACUCCCUCUGGAGCUGUUUCAGAGAAAGCAGGUGUUUAUAGACAGGCAACCAGGGAGGUUGCUAUUAUCUGCAAUUUUCAGCGUACUGUCGCAAGGCCUGGUGGUGUACGGAUGUACUGGUUAAAAGAGAACAUGAGUGAGUUGCAGGGCACAUUGACAGAGCUGAAAACAGAUUUGGACAGGGCAGUAAUGAGAUUGCCCCCACUGAGAAAUUCUAAUGGAAAACUAAAGAGAACCCUGACCCCAGAAGAGUAAUUGAACUUGUUUGCUAUUCUAAACCAAUAUUUCUAUCAAGUGCGGAUGAUUCCUUGUGAGUUUUGAUUUGAUACAUGUUAGAGAGGACGAUAGCAGAAACAAUUCAGAUGACUGAAAAAUUGGAACAGGAUAUGAGAACCCAAGAGAACCAGAAAUGCAUGUCAGUGGGAAUGCCCAAAAUCAAGUAUCUUGACCCUAGGAUCACUGUUGCAUAGUGUAAGCGAAAAGAAGUUCCUAUUAACAAAAUAUACACCGAGUGUUAUGUGCCAAUGUUUGAGUGGGCAGUGGAUGUGGAUAUCGACUUAAGAUUCUGAUAUGAGGGCAUCUGCAUCUGCUUAAUCAUGUGCUUAUUCUAUCUAUUGUAAAAAAC
Molecule: long non-coding RNA, 1311 nt
Organism: Rosa chinensis
Lineage: Eukaryota; Viridiplantae; Streptophyta; Magnoliopsida; Rosales; Rosaceae
Exons: 10
Source: RefSeq, a predicted model, not a curated record